ACCAAGGAGUCUAACAUGUGCGCGAGUCAUUGGGUUCGUCAGCGAAACCCAGAGGCGCAGUGAAAGUGAAGGCUUCCAUGAAGCGGAGGGAGGAUGGCUCCGGCCCCGUCCGGAGCUCGCACUCCCGGGGCGUCUCACCCUCACUGCGAGGAGAGACGCACCCAGAGCGUACACGUUGGGACCCGAAAGAUGGUGAACUAUGCCUGGCCAGGACGAAGUCAGGGGAAACCCUGAUGGAGGUCCGUAGCGAUUCUGACGUGCAAAUCGAUCGUCAGAGCUGGGUAUAGGGGCGAAAGACCAAUCGAACCAUCUAGUAGCUGGUUCCCUCCGAAGUUUCCCUCAGGAUAGCUGGUGCUCGGAGGAAAGAGUCUCAUGUGGUAAAGCGAAUGAUUAGAGGCCUUGGGGCCGAAACGACCUCAACCUAUUCUCAAACUUUAAAUGGGUGAGAUCUCCGGCUUGCUCAAAGUGAAGCCGGGGACGGAUCAGAGUGCCAAGUGGGCCAUUUUUGGUAAGCAGAACUGGCGCUGUGGGAUGAACCAAACGCGCGGUUAAGGCGCCCAAAUCGACGCUCAUCGGAAACCAUGAAAGGUGUUGGUUGCUUAAGACAGCAGGACGGUGGCCAUGGAAGUCGGAAUCCGCUAAGGAGUGUGUAACAACUCACCUGCCGAAGCAACUAGCCCUGAAAAUGGAUGGCGCUGAAGCGUCGUGCCUAUACCGCGCCGUCGGCGGCAGGAGGGCGCCCCCGCGAGGGGGUCCCGGCAAAGCCUCGACGAGUAGGAGGGUCGCGGCGGUGAGCGCAGAAGGGUCUGGGCGCGAGCCUGCCUGGAGCCGCCGCCGGUGCAGAUCUUGGUGGUAGUAGCAAAUACUCCAGCGAGGACCUGGAGGACUGACGCGGAGAAGGGUUUCGUGUGAACAGCCGUUGCACACGAGUCAGUCGAUCCUAAGCCCUAGGAGAAAUCCUACGCAGAUGGUUCGGUGUUAAUAUUUUUUAUGAAAAGCGUCAUACCGACCGUCGGGCGAAAGGGAAUCCGGUUCCUAUUCCGGAACCCGGCAGCGGAACCGUUCCAAUUCGGGCCCUCGCAAGAGGACUCGUCGGGGUAACCCAACAGGACCCGGAGACGCCGUCGGGAGAUCGGGGAAGAGUUUUCUUUUCUGCAUGAGCGUUCGAGUUCCCUGGAAUCCUCUAGCAGGGAGAUAGGGUUUGGAACGCGAAGAGCACCGCAGUUGCGGCGGUGUCCCGAUCUUCCCCUCGGACCUUGAAAAUCCGGGAGAGGGCCACGUGGAGCUUUCGCGCCGGCUCGUACCCAUAUCCGCAGCAGGUCUCCAA
Molecule: ribosomal RNA, 1327 nt
Filed under: Embia nuragica
Lineage: Eukaryota; Metazoa; Arthropoda; Insecta; Embioptera; Embiidae
Description: eukaryotic LSU rRNA
Rfam family: Eukaryotic large subunit ribosomal RNA
Source: RNAcentral